GGCUACCGCUAUUGGAGUUCGAUUAAGCCAUGCGAGUCGAGAGUCUUAGGGACUCGGCGUACCGCUCAGUAACACGUGGGUAACCUGCCCUAUGCUGGGGAAUAACCUCGGGAAACUGAGAAUAAUGCCCCAUAGUCCACCAUGCCUGGAACGGUUGGUGGAUGAAAGCUCCGGCGGCAUAGGAUGGGCCUGCGGCGUAUCAGGUCGUAGGGGGUGUAACGUACCCUCUAGCCAUCGACGCGUACGGGUGUUGGGAGACAUAGCCCGGAGAUGGAUUCUGAGACACGAAUCCAGACCCUACGGGGUGCAGCAGGCGCGAAAACUUGGCAAUGCGAGAAAUCGUGACCAGGGAACUCCAAGUGGCUGGGGUAAGACCCAGUCUUUUCUUGACUCUUCAAAGGUCUUGGAAUAAGGGGUGGGUAAGGACGGUGCCAGCCGCCGCGGUAAUACCGGCGCCUCAAGUGGUAGUCGAUUUUAUUGGGCCUAAAACGUCCGUCGCCUGUUUGGUACAUUCGUGGGUAAAUCAACCAGCUCAACUGGUUGAAUUCUGCGAGCACGGCCAGACUUGGGACCGGGAGAGGUGUGGGGUACGCUCAGGGUAGGGGUAAAAUCCUGUCAUCCUGAGCGGACCACCUGUUGCGAAGGCUCCACACUAGAACGGAUCCGACGGUCAGGGACGAAGCCUAGGGGCACGAACCGGAUUAGAUACCCGGGUAGUCCUAGGUGUAAACGCUGUGGACUUGGUGUUGGGAAGGUUCCGAGCCUUCUCAGUGCCGAAGCGAAGGUGAUAAGUCCACUGCCUGGGGAGUACGGUCGCAAGGCUGAAACUUAAAGGAAUUGGCGGGGGAGCACCGCAACCUGAGGAUUGUGCGGUUU
RNAcentral lists this ribosomal RNA (876 nucleotides) under uncultured euryarchaeote. Its description in RNAcentral is "bacterial SSU rRNA". It matches the Rfam family "Archaeal small subunit ribosomal RNA", at positions 22 to 903 of the family's 1478-position model. Lineage: Archaea; Methanobacteriati; Methanobacteriota. The record is from RNAcentral.